GGAAUAUUGCGCAAUGGGGGAAACCCUGACGCAGCAACGCCGCGUGAGUGAGGAAGGUCUUCGGAUUGUAAAACUCUGUUAUUUGGGAAAAAUGACCUUGUGGCUAAUAUCCACGAGGAGGGCUGGUACCAAGGGAAUAAGCACCGGCGAACUUCGUGCCAGCAGCCGCUGUAAUACGAAGGGUGCAAGCGUUGUUCGGAAUCAUUGGGCGUAAAGCGCGCGCAGUCGGAUUGAUAAGUCAGGUGUGAAAUCUCGAAGCUCAACUUCGAAACUGCGCCUGAAACUAUUAGUCUAGAAUGUCGGAGGGGGCAGGGGAAUUUCACGUGUAGGGGUAAAAUCCGUAGAGAUGUGAAGGAACACCGGAGGCGAAGGCGCCUGCCUGGACGACUAUUGACGCUGAGGCGCGAAAGCGUGGGGAGCAAAC
RNAcentral lists this ribosomal RNA (424 nucleotides) under uncultured bacterium. RNAcentral describes it as "bacterial SSU rRNA". It matches the Rfam family "Bacterial small subunit ribosomal RNA", at positions 358 to 773 of the family's 1533-position model. The record is from RNAcentral.